Molecule: long non-coding RNA, 590 nt
Filed under: Triticum aestivum (bread wheat)
Lineage: Eukaryota; Viridiplantae; Streptophyta; Magnoliopsida; Poales; Poaceae
Description: long non-coding RNA (TAES_LNC000322)
Source: RNAcentral
CGGAAUUCUUGUAUCCUUGAUCCUGUGUGAGAAAUAUUGUAGCGGAAGCCUAACAUAUACUCCCUCCGUUUCAAAAUAGAUGACCCAACUUUGUAUUAAAGGGAGUACGUACCAUGAUAGGUUCUUCUUUCAAUCUCAACAAAAUGAUAAAGAUUCUUCAUUCUUGUAGCGUUGCAGGACGGCGAGGGCGCCAGGACCUGAGCUCGGGGGACGGCGCCGGCGGGCGGCCUGCUCGGGGCGCGCGCGGGCAGGAGCAGGACGGCGGGGAGCGUGAAACUGGGGAAGGCCGGGACCGGGACCGCGGGCCGCGGGGACGGCGACGGCCGCCUGCACGAGCUGCGGAGCUGAGUCGGGUUACAUCGUGGGUGCGGCGCGUGUUUUUCUUUUUGAGUCCGCGAGAACAGGCCCGUGCGUGCGUGCGUUAGGGAUGAGCUGGGCUUGGGGCUAGCCCGGCUGAGCCUGGGCCCCUGGAAAAACCUUUAAAUUAUCCCAUGCCUCUGGCCUGGGGCCAGCUUUGUGAGAGCAACUAGUUUUUUUUUCAUGAUAAUACAUGUCUCAUUCAUAUCAUAAAGAACAAAGUACAAGUCACG